GGAGGGAUGGCCGAGUGGUUUAAGGCGGCGGUCUUGAAAACCGUUGAUCCAAAAGAUCCGGGGGUUCGAAUCCCUCUCCCUCCGCCA
Molecule: transfer RNA, 87 nt
Filed under: Deltaproteobacteria bacterium
Lineage: Bacteria; Pseudomonadati; Myxococcota; Myxococcia
Also listed under: 2 other names
Description: tRNA-Ser
Rfam family: tRNA
About the family: Transfer RNA (tRNA) molecules are approximately 80 nucleotides in length.
Source: RNAcentral